AUUUAUAAUUUGUCUAUUUUUAAUUCCGUGCAAACGUUAAUUUUUUAAUACCAAAAAAAUGGGAGUUACAGUAGGUCAUUUCGAGUAACGUUAUUUGACACGUCGGUCAUAUUAUCGUGGUGGACAAACAAAGACUAUUUCAUUUGUGUAUAGAGAAUUUAUUCUUUCGAGUGCUUUUUUGAUUGAAGUGAAUAAUAAAUGAAUAUCUUUUGCCAAAAAAAAAACGAAAAUAGAACACCAAUAUAACCAUAAUUUUAAUGUAAAUAAUGCAAUAAUUGUUGCUCGUGACAAUAUAGUGGCUGGUUAUGACGUCAUGCCAAAUUGACCUAUUAAUUAUAAAUAAUCAUGUAGAUUUAUGGUAUUAUUUCAAUCACACUGUAUUUUGAAUUUCAAAUGAUUAAAUCUUGAAAAUGAAAUCUGCAUUAGUAUUGGAUAAUUGAUGUGAAUUGAAAUGAUCAGAUGUGUAUGAAGUUGUGCAAUUUAAAUAGUAUUUAUUUGUCUAUUAGCUAUUUACAUUUUUGUGCAUUUAAAAGUUAUUAUUUGUUGCGAAUUGUGCUGUCGUGUUUACUUACUCAAUAUGAGUAAACGAGUAAAAGCCUGCUAUGUACCAGGAUGCACGAAUAAGCAAGCGAUAAGACAUUCCAUCCUACAAAUGAAGACGUUUGCAGAAUUUGGUUGUACAGAAUAAAUAAUCCCAAGUUAAUGCUUACAGUAUUAUCAUCACAUAGAAUAUGUGACAUUCAUUUUGAACCAAUUUGUAGAAACCCCAAUGGUAGGUUAAAAAAACUUUCACUGCCAACUCUACAUUUAUCUGGUACUAUGACAAUAAACUUCUUAUAAAUCCUAGAGAAAAGUUAUGCAGAGGAAAAGAAUUGCUAUUUCCUCCAAUAGUCAAUGUCCCAAUUUAUAAAUCAUUCAAUAGAUGCUCAAAAUAUACAGGAUCAGAUCUUGUCACUCCUUAUGUGGCAGGUUCAGUAGCGAAGAAAUUAUUUAAAAGUCUCAAAUGCCACUUGUGUAAAAAUAUAAUAUUGUCAAACGAAUUAAUUAAGGCAAAUUCAUCAAUAUAUUCUAGGGAACAUAAAAAAAUGUUUUAUGUGCGCCUUCAGCAAAAUUCUGUGAUAUUUUUAAAAGUUUUUCUGAUAAAAUCUUGGAAAGAUUGCCCCAGUUAAUCAAUUCGUUAGGCAUAAAGAAACAAAUAUUUCGUUUGGAGAAUUUUACAGACAUUUCCUCAAUAUUUUGUUCAGAUAAAAGGAUUAUGUAAAUAUGUUUGUUAAUAUUAAUUUUAACAUAUGCAUCUUUCAUUACAAAGGUAUUAUUAAUAAAAUUUUGAAGGACAAAGAUCAACAAUAUAAAGAAUCCGAUGUAGUGAUGAAUAUGGCAUAUGUAAAAUAUAGGGAAAGCUGCAAGAAAGACAAUGGUAAUCAUUAAUUAUCCAUGGUUAUAAAAUCAGUUUUUUAUAUACCAUUGUAUGUACCAUGUACAAAUAAACAUUUUUUAAACAGCAUCUCAUUGUUGACAGUCUUAAGUCUGCUAAAAUGUGAAGGAAAAUUUUUUGUUUGUGGAUAUAGUUAUAAAAUGUCAAAAACAAAAUAAAAAUUAUAAUAAUCA
Long non-coding RNA from Diorhabda carinulata, 1608 nucleotides. RefSeq lists it as uncharacterized. The record is from RefSeq and is a predicted model, not a curated record. The transcript has 2 exons. Lineage: Eukaryota; Metazoa; Arthropoda; Insecta; Coleoptera; Chrysomelidae.